AGAUUGAACGCUGGCGGCAGGCCUAACACAUGCAAGUCGAGCGGUAGAGAGGUGCUUGCACCUCUUGAGAGCGGCGGACGGGUGAGUAAUGCCUAGGAAUCUGCCUAGUGGUGGGGGAUAACGUUCGGAAACGGACGCUAAUACCGCAUACGUCCUACGGGAGAAAGCGGGGGACCUUCGGGCCUCGCGCCAUUAGAUGAGCCUAGGUCGAUUAGCUAGUUGGUGAGGUAAUGGCUCACCAAGGCGACGAUCCGUAACUGGUCUGAGAGGAUGAUCAGCCACACUGGAACUGAGACACGGCCAGACUCCUACGGGAGCAGCAGUAGGAAUAUGGACAUGGGCAAAGCCUGAUCCAGCAAUGCGCGUAGAGUG
Molecule: ribosomal RNA, 372 nt
Filed under: uncultured soil bacterium
Lineage: Bacteria
Description: bacterial SSU rRNA
Rfam family: Bacterial small subunit ribosomal RNA
Source: RNAcentral